GACGUAGGAUGCAAGCGUUGUCCGGAUUUAUUGGGCGUAAAGAGUUCGUAGGUGGUUUGUUAAGUCUGAUGUUAAAGACUGGGGCUCAACCUCGGGAGUGCAUUGGAUACUGGCAGACUGGAGUGCAGUAGAGGCAAGCGGAAUUCCCAGUGUAGCGGUGAAAUGCGUAGAUAUUGGGAAGAACACCGGUGGCGUAAGCGGCUUGCUGGGCUGUAACUGACACUGAGGAACGAAAGCUAGGGGAGCAAAUGGG
Molecule: ribosomal RNA, 253 nt
Filed under: uncultured bacterium
Lineage: Bacteria
Description: partial 16S ribosomal RNA
Rfam family: Bacterial small subunit ribosomal RNA
Source: RNAcentral